This 529-nucleotide ribosomal RNA is filed under the name uncultured bacterium. Its description in RNAcentral is "partial 16S ribosomal RNA". It matches the Rfam family "Bacterial small subunit ribosomal RNA", at positions 355 to 899 of the family's 1533-position model. The record is from RNAcentral.
UGGGGAAUAUUGCACAAUGGGCGAAAGCCUGAUGCAGCAACGCCGCGUGAGUGAUGAAGGCCUUCGGGUUGUAAAGCUCUGUCUUUUGGGACGAUAAUGACGGUACCAAAGGAGGAAGCCACGGCUAACUACGUGCCAGCAGCCGCGGUAAUACGUAGGUGGCAAGCGUUGUCCGGAUUUACUGGGCGUAAAGGAUGCGUAGGCGGAUUUUUAAGUGAGAUGUGAAAUACCCGGGCUUAACUUGGGUGCUGCAUUUCAAACUGGGAAUCUAGAGUGCGGGAGAGGAGAAUGGAAUUCCUAGUGUAGCGGUGAAAUGCGUAGAGAUUAGGAAGAACACCAGUGGCGAAGGCGAUUCUCUGGACCGUAACUGACGCUGAGGCAUGAAAGCGUGGGUAGCAAACAGGAUUAGAUACCCUGGUAGUCCACGCCGUAAACGAUGAGUACUAGGUGUAGGAGGUAUCGACCCCUUCUGUGCCGCAGUUAACACAAUCAAGUACUCCGCCUGGGAAGUACGAUCGCAAGAUUAAAA